AUUGAACGCUGGCGGCAUGCCUUACACAUGCAAGUCGAACGGCAGCACGGGUGCUUGCACCUGGUGGCGAGUGGCGAACGGGUGAGUAAUACAUCGGAACAUGUCCUGUAGUGGGGGAUAGCCCGGCGAAAGCCGGAUUAAUACCGCAUACGAUCUACGGAUGAAAGCGGGGGACCUUCGGGCCUCGCGCUAUAGGGUUGGCCGAUGGCUGAUUAGCUAGUUGGUGGGGUAAAGGCCUACCAAGGCGACGAUCAGUAGCUGGUCUGAGAGGACGACCAGCCACACUGGGACUGAGACACGGCCCAGACUCCUACGGGAGGCAGCAGUGGGGAAUUUUGGACAAUGGGCGAAAGCCUGAUCCAGCAAUGCAGCGUGUGUGAAGAAGGCCUUCGGGUUGUAAAGCACUUUUGUCCGGAAAGAAAUCCUUGGCCCUAAUACGGUCGGGGGAUGACGGUACCGGAAGAAUAAGCACCGGCUAACUACGU
Molecule: ribosomal RNA, 485 nt
Filed under: uncultured bacterium
Lineage: Bacteria
Description: partial 16S ribosomal RNA
Rfam family: Bacterial small subunit ribosomal RNA
Source: RNAcentral